UUGAACGCUAGCGGGAUGCUUUACACAUGCAAGUCGAACGGCAGCGCGGACUUCGGUCUGGCGGCGAGUGGCGAACGGGUGAGUAAUGUAUCGGAACGUGCCCAGUAGCCGGGGAUAACUACGCGAAAGCGUAGCUAAUACCGCAUACGCCCUACGGGGGAAAGCAGGGGAUCGUAAGACCUUGCACUAUUGGAGCGGCCGAUAUCGGAUUAGCUAGUUGGUGAGGUAACGGCUCACCAAGGCGACGAUCCGUAGCUGGUUUGAGAGGACGACCAGCCACACUGGGACUGAGACACGGCCCAGACUCCUACGGGAGGCAGCAGUGGGGAAUUUUGGACAAUGGGGGCAACCCUGAUCCAGCCAUCCCGCGUGUGCGAUGAAGGCCUUCGGGUUGUAAAGCACUUUUGGCAGGAAAGAAACGUCGCGGGCUAAUACCCCGUGGAACUGACGGUACCUGCAGAAUAGGCACCGGCUAACUACGUG
RNAcentral lists this ribosomal RNA (483 nucleotides) under uncultured bacterium. Its description in RNAcentral is "partial 16S ribosomal RNA". It matches the Rfam family "Bacterial small subunit ribosomal RNA", at positions 30 to 507 of the family's 1533-position model. The record is from RNAcentral.